UACGGAAGGGGCAAGCGUUGUUCGGAAUCAUUGGGCGUAAAGGGCGCGUAGGUGGUUCUGUAUGUCUACCGUGAAAGCGUACGGCUCAACCGUAUUUUGUCGGUGGAAACUGCAGGACUUGAGGCUGGGAGGGGCUGGUGGAAUUCCCUGUGUAGCGGUGAAAUGCGUAGAGAUGGGGGAGAACACUCGUGGCGAAGGCGGCCAGCUAGACCAGUUCUGACACUGAGGCGCGACAGCGUGGGUAGCAAACAGG
This 253-nucleotide ribosomal RNA is filed under the name uncultured bacterium. RNAcentral's name for it is "partial 16S ribosomal RNA". It matches the Rfam family "Bacterial small subunit ribosomal RNA", at positions 524 to 776 of the family's 1533-position model. The record is from RNAcentral.